RNAcentral lists this ribosomal RNA (466 nucleotides) under uncultured bacterium. Its description in RNAcentral is "partial 16S ribosomal RNA". It matches the Rfam family "Bacterial small subunit ribosomal RNA", at positions 29 to 507 of the family's 1533-position model. The record is from RNAcentral.
ACGAACGCUGGCGGCGUGCUUAACACAUGCAAGUCGAACGGAAAGGCUCCAGCUUGCUGGAGUACUCGAGUGGCGAACGGGUGAGUAACACGUGGGUAAUCUGCCCUGCACUCUGGGAUAAGCCUGGGAAACUGGGUCUAAUACUGGAUAUGGCCUUUCUCCUUAUGGGGUUUGGUGGAAAGUUUUUCGGUGUAGGAUGAGCCCGCGGCCUAUCAGCUUGUUGGUGGGGUGAUGGCCUACCAAGGCGACGACGGGUAGCCGGCCUGAGAGGGUGAUCGGCCACAUUGGGACUGAGAUACGGCCCAGACUCCUACGGGAGGCAGCAGUGGGGAAUAUUGCACAAUGGGCGGAAGCCUGAUGCAGCGACGCCGCGUGAGGGAUGACGGCCUUCGGGUUGUAAACCUCUUUCAGCAGGGACGAAGCGUAAGUGACGGUACCUGCAGAAGAAGCACCGGCUAACUAUGUG